RNAcentral lists this long non-coding RNA (520 nucleotides) under Nicotiana benthamiana. Its description in RNAcentral is "long non-coding RNA (NBEN_LNC009698)". Lineage: Eukaryota; Viridiplantae; Streptophyta; Magnoliopsida; Solanales; Solanaceae. The record is from RNAcentral.
GCAUGACAUGUUCAUUGAAGUCCGUAUAUACUCCAGAUAAGUCCUUCUUUCUUCUCCCCGAAAGGGAUACCUCUCGUUUAAAUUCAUUGCAUGUCCAUUAUUUAUUUUUCGUUGAAUCCCUUUCUGUCUAACUCUAUUCCAUAAUUGAGACAAAGAAGGGAUGACAAGAUUGAUUUACAGGGCUUUCAUUUGACAUGAGCCAAUGUGCAGAAAGACACCCAGCCUCGCCAUGGGCAUCAAGUCGAUCCCCGACUAGCCAUGACGGUCGAUGCUUCGAAACCAAAACUCUUGGAAGGAGAACAUCAAACUGAAGUGCCUGUAAAGGCAAAUGAAGUUGAAAAGGUUAAUUCCCAAGUGGCUAACUGUCUCGGCAAAGGUUUUAAAAUCCAAGAUGUCCCAAAUGCUCUAAAAUUGAAGUUGGGAAAAGAAGUCAAAAAUGAAAGGCCUACGAAGGCAAAAUAAAGUUGGAAAAGGUUAAGUCCCACGCGACUAGCUGCUACAGCAAAGCUUGAGGAGGCAA